This 1169-nucleotide long non-coding RNA is filed under the name Oryza sativa (Asian cultivated rice). RNAcentral describes it as "long non-coding RNA (OSAT_LNC000824)". Lineage: Eukaryota; Viridiplantae; Streptophyta; Magnoliopsida; Poales; Poaceae. The record is from RNAcentral.
CUCCAUGUCGUGCCCCCCUCAUCACUUCAUUUAGUUUGUUUUCUUCCUAUCAUUGUGGGGGUACUAGUAUCUCUUACCCGUCUCUCAUCCAGCAAUUUUUUUUCUGGUGGAAUUAAGAGGUUCACUUUCAGUUGAAGACAAGGCCUUUCCCUGAAGUUCUGAGAAGACUGGUACGGCGGCAAAUCUUUACAUAGGACUAGAGGCUGGGGCGCCGCCUGCACGGACUAAAACGACAAUCAGUCGGUAAAUAGAUGAGGGAAAUCUAUGAAAAUUUGAUAAGCGACAUCAUAGAUUACAGUUCAACUCUUGUGGAUAUCAAUAGCAUCGUAAUUAGUAUUGCCUUUUUCCGUAAUAAAUAUCCUACUACAGAUGGACACUUUAUUAUCAACGUAGAGCAUCUCUGUUGAAAUUUCGGUUCGUUACAGACUCUUGGUUCACAUGAAUAUACAAUGUUUUUAUUACAUAAUAACCCAAAAUUAAUAGAAAAAUAAUCCCUGGUACACAUUGCUAUACACUUUGGGUUUUUGCAAAUAGGGUAACUGAAGAAUAAUGGGCCCAACUUUUCAAGAUUACAUUCAGCAUCCCAUCAUAUUCUGAAGAAUCCAAACAUGUUGGAAUGUAAGUACAUGAAAACAUACGUUAGCUAAUGAAAUCAUAUAUUGAGAAGCACCUGCAGAUAUAUACCAUACCCUAAUAAAACCUUACCGCACUAAGUGCCCGAGCACACGAAAAAAUUGUUCAUAGGUCAAUCAGUGAUAAUGGAACACCAAAAUUCCAUUGAUGUUUAUUUAUGAGCUAGCAGCUAAUUAGAAGUGGGUAAAAUUUACUCAGCUAGUAUACCUCUUACAGGCACAUGGGAACCAGCCUCUAGUAGGAUUUGUUCAGUUCACGACACCGCAAACUCCAAGCUCCUUCAACAGAAGAAGGUCUUGGGGAAUGGAAUGGCACCGAGCAGAAGAUGCUGAUCGAACCAAAAGAAAAAUACACUAUCAAAGCACAGCAAACUAAAACUCCAAAUGAAUCAAAACAUCAAGACUGCAGGAAAAGUAGUAGCUCCCCAACAUCAAUACUGGAUCCACGUGCUGAAGAAGUUGGUGGAGGCGCGACCAUCGGCCACCACGUGCGGCGAGCGGCUAGACCGGCCAGUUGACGACGACGGCUGCAGGUUA